This 346-nucleotide ribosomal RNA is filed under the name uncultured eukaryote. RNAcentral describes it as "SSU rRNA". It matches the Rfam family "Eukaryotic small subunit ribosomal RNA", at positions 594 to 945 of the family's 1831-position model. The record is from RNAcentral.
AUAGCGUAUAUUAAAGUUGUUGCAGUUAAAAAGCUCGUAGUUGAACUUCAGGCCCGGCGGGGUGGUCUGCCUCACGGUAUGUACUAUCCUGCUGGGCCUUACCUCUUGGUGAGCCCGUAUGCCGUUUACUCGGUGUGCGGAGGAACCAGGAAUUUUACUUUGAAAAAAUUAGAGUGUUCAAAGCAGGCUUAUGCUCGAAUACAUUAGCAUGGAAUAAUAAAAUAGGACGUGCGGUUCUAUUUUGUUGGUUUCUAGAGUCGCCGUAAUGAUUAAUAGGGAUAGUUGGGGGCAUUAGUAUUCAGUUGCUAGAGGUGAAAUUCUUGGAUUUACUGAAGACUAACUACUG